AGAGUUUGAUCAUGGCUCAGGAUGAACGCUAGCGGCAAGCUUAAUACAUGCAAGUCGAGGGGCAGCACGGGUAGCAAUACCUGGUGGCGACCGGCAAACGGGUGCGGAACACGUACGCAACCUUCCCAAAACUGGUGAAUAGCCUUUCGAAAGAGAGAUUAAUACACCGUAAGAUAACGAGUAGGCAUCUACUUGUUAUUAUAGUAGCAAUACGGUUUUGGAUGGGCGUGCGCCUGAUUAGGUAGUUGGCGGGGUAACGGCCCACCAAGCCUGCGAUCAGUAACUGGUGUGAGAGCACGACCAGUCACACGGGCACUGAGACACGGGCCCGACUCCUACGGGAGGCAGCAGUAAGGAAUAUUGGUCAAUGGACGCAAGUCUGAACCAGCUAUGCCGCGUGAAGGAUGAAGGUCCUCUGGAUUGUAAACUUCUUUUAUCUGGGACGAAAAAAGCUCAUUCUUGAGCACUUGACGGUACCAGAGGAAUAAGCACCGGCUAACUCCGUGCCAGCAGCCGCGGUAAUACGGAGGGUGCAAGCGUUAUCCGGAUUCACUGGGUUUAAAGGGUGCGUAGGUGGGCAGGUAAGUCAGUGGUGAAAUCUCCGAGCUUAACUCGGAAACUGCCAUUGAUACUAUCUGUCUUGAAUUAUCUGGAGGUGAGCGGAAUAUGUCAUGUAGCGGUGAAAUGCUUAGAUAUGACAUAGAACACCAAUUGCGAAGGCAGCUCACUACGGAUAUAUUGACACUGAGGCACGAAAGCGUGGGGAUCAAACAGGAUUAGAUACCCCUGUAGUCC
RNAcentral lists this ribosomal RNA (795 nucleotides) under uncultured bacterium. RNAcentral describes it as "bacterial SSU rRNA". It matches the Rfam family "Bacterial small subunit ribosomal RNA", at positions 8 to 796 of the family's 1533-position model. The record is from RNAcentral.